GUAUAUUCUCUUUUAUAGAAUAAAUUAUGAAGAAAUAUGACCAGAAAAGAAUGAGUAGUAUUCUCCAAUAAGUACAUGUUAUUAUUAAAGCAAUAAUUUAGCAUAUCUACAUAUUGAAAUAGGUUUUCUAAAGGGUCACAUUACAAUAUCAGUGCCCCAUCAAUGAACCAUAUAUCCAUUGAAUAACUAAUCAAUGUGCACACUUUGUCAUAGUUUGCUUCAGGGUCUCAGGUUAAGAAUCUAUGUGCUGGUGGAAUCUGUGCGUCUUUUGGAACCAAUGAGACCAUGUAAGUACAGUCCAAGCUCUUUAUUAACAAACAGGAAAAGAAAGACAGAAGACCUGUAGAAAGAAAAUCACUAUGAGUUUGGAAAAUCAGCAAAGGUUACAAACCAGGGCAUAAUCUGGUAAGGAAUUUAUAGGUAAAGUCAAAGAAGCGCCAGGUAUCAGUCAAGGAACAGUAGAGGUAACAAACAAGUUGAACAGGCAAAGCAAACUAUAGACUUGGGCAAUGUUUUUGGGGGUCACAGUUUGGACGAGUAUUCUGAAUCUCUGAAUAGCACAAUGGAAGAAUAAACUAAUGAAGAAGUUGCAAAAUGGAAGAAAUUCUUCCAUGCACCAUUUGUUCAUUAGUUUACUCUUGUAAAUUCAUCAAAAUUGGUACCCUUAUGUGGGAUUACCAUAUUUAAAGGAGCACUAUAGUGCCAUGAAAUCAAACUCGUUUUCCUGGCACUAUAGGGUUAUUAGCCUCUCCACCCUCCCCCAGGGAUCCCCUCCCGCUGGGCUGAAGGGCACUUACCUUAAUCAAGCGCCGGGCUCCAUCGGCGCUGGUGACCUCUUCUCCUCCUGCCGAUGUUAGCGACGAAUGCGCUUGCGCGGCAACCCACGCGCAUUCAAAAAGCCUAUAGGAAAGCAUUACUCAAUGCUUUCCUAUGGACGUCCAGCGUCUUCUCACUGUGACUUUCACAGUGAGAAUCGCGAAAGCGGCCUCUAGUGGCUGUCAGGGAGACAGCUGCUAGAGGUUGGAUUAACCCUCAGUGAAAUGUAUCGGUUUCUCUGAAACUGCUUUGUUUUCAGCUGCAGGGUUAAAACUAGAGGGGCCUGGCACCCAGACCACUUCAUUGAGCUGAUGUGGUCUGGGUGCCUAUAGUGGUUCUUUAAUGAUACCAAUACCAAACUUGUAGUUGGUUUUCCAAAAGGUUUGC
Pelobates cultripes (western spadefoot toad) is the source of this 1203-nucleotide non-coding RNA. The record is from the annotation of a GenBank genome assembly. NCBI's taxonomy places the organism in Eukaryota, Metazoa, Chordata, Amphibia, Anura, Pelobatidae.